AUCAUGGAAAAAAUGGGUUCUGUCAUUCCGAGACUGGUGAUAGGGGCAUUCAUUCAGUUCACCUGCAGCUACAGCACCCUACCACUCUACGCAAUUGUCACACAGAUUGGAAGUUCAUUGAAAAAGGAAAUAUUCGCAGAACAUGUACAAAAGGACUAGUUGACUGGGCUAGACAUGCCAA
Long non-coding RNA from Juglans microcarpa x Juglans regia, 181 nucleotides. RefSeq lists it as uncharacterized. The record is from RefSeq and is a predicted model, not a curated record. The transcript is spliced from 3 exons. Lineage: Eukaryota; Viridiplantae; Streptophyta; Magnoliopsida; Fagales; Juglandaceae.